GGACUUGAGACCGGCGCACGGGUGCGUAACGCGUAUGCAAUCUACCUUAUACAGGGGAAUAGCCCAGAGAAAUUUGGAUUAAUGCCCCAUAGUAUUAUUGAAUGGCAUCAUUUGAUAAUUAAAGUUCCAACGGUAUAAGAUGAGCAUGCGUCCCAUUAGUUAGUUGGUAAGGUAACGGCUUACCAAGACAAUGAUGGGUAGGGGUCCUGAGAGGGAGAUCCCCCACACUGGUACUGAGACACGGACCAGACUCCUACGGGAGGCAGCAGUGAGGAAUAUUGGUCAAUGGGCGCAAGCCUGAACCAGCCAUGCCGCGUGCAGGAAGAAGCAUCUAUGGUGUGUAAACUGCUUUUAUACAGGAAGAAACAUCCCGACGUGUCGGGACUUGACGGUACUGUAGGAAUAAGGAUCGGCUAACUCCGUGCCAGCAGCCGCGGUAAUACGGAGGAUCCAAGCGUUAUCCGGAAUCAUUGGGUUUAAAGGGUCCGUAGGCGGCCUUAUAAGUCAGUGGUGAAAUCUCCUAGCUCAACUAGGAAACUGCCAUUGAUACUGUAAGGCUUGAAUUUUUGUGAAGUAACUAGAAUAUGUAGUGUAGCGGUGAAAUGCUUAGAUAUUACAUGGAAUACCAAUUGCGAAGGCAGGUUACUAACAAACGAUUGACGCUGAUGGACGAAAGCGUGGGGAGCGAACAGGAUUAGAU
Molecule: ribosomal RNA, 700 nt
Filed under: uncultured bacterium
Lineage: Bacteria
Description: bacterial SSU rRNA
Rfam family: Bacterial small subunit ribosomal RNA
Source: RNAcentral